GGAGGGGUGCCGGAGUGGUCGAACGGGGCGGUCUCGAAAACCGUUGUGCGCACUGCGUACCGUGGGUUCGAAUCCCACCCCCUCCGCCA
This 89-nucleotide transfer RNA is filed under the name Alphaproteobacteria bacterium. RNAcentral describes it as "tRNA-Ser". It matches the Rfam family "tRNA". From Rfam's summary of the family: Transfer RNA (tRNA) molecules are approximately 80 nucleotides in length. Their secondary structure includes four short double-helical elements and three loops (D, anti-codon, and T loops). Further hydrogen bonds mediate the characteristic L-shaped molecular structure. tRNAs have two regions of fundamental functional importance: the anti-codon, which is responsible for specific mRNA codon recognition, and the 3' end, to which the tRNAs corresponding amino acid is attached (by aminoacyl-tRNA synthetases). tRNAs cope with the degeneracy of the genetic code in two manners: having more than one tRNA (with a specific anti-codon) for a particular amino acid; and 'wobble' base-pairing, i.e. permitting non-standard base-pairing at the 3rd anti-codon position. Lineage: Bacteria; Pseudomonadati; Pseudomonadota; Alphaproteobacteria. The record is from RNAcentral.